Molecule: long non-coding RNA, 482 nt
Filed under: Phoenix dactylifera (date palm)
Lineage: Eukaryota; Viridiplantae; Streptophyta; Magnoliopsida; Arecales; Arecaceae
Description: long non-coding RNA (PDAC_LNC015429)
Source: RNAcentral
GUGGCGCCAGGAGGAGGCCGAGUUAUGGCAGUCGCGGCUGCGGCGGCUUUUAUUUAUUUAUUUAUUCUUUCAUUUAUUUAUCAUUUUAUUUCAAUACAAUAUAUUUUUAUUAUUUUAUUUAUUUUAUUUAUUUUUUUAUUCUUUUUUUAUUCUUUUUUUUCUUCUUUUUUUUCCUUCUUCUUCUUUCUUCUCCUCCCACGAUGUCGCCGGCACCGGAAGGGGGCCGGGCCAUGGUGGCCUCAUGAGGGGGCUUGGGAGGGGGCCGGGCCGCCGGCAGCGGCCGCCGCGACUGGCUAGUAAAGAAUUCUUCUCCUCCCGCAAGGCCGAUGGCGCCAAAAAGGGGUCGGGCCGCGGUGGACACGAGAGGAAGGUGGGCUAUGGCCGCGCCCUUUUUCCUCUUCUUCGGCGCCUCCCCACCGUUUUGGGGGGGGGGGGGGCUGCGGGAGGGGACCCAGCCAUGCCCCCUCCCCCCUCUUCUUCGG